Humulus lupulus (European hop) is the source of this 323-nucleotide long non-coding RNA. RefSeq lists it as uncharacterized. Lineage: Eukaryota; Viridiplantae; Streptophyta; Magnoliopsida; Rosales; Cannabaceae. The transcript is spliced from 3 exons. The record is from RefSeq and is a predicted model, not a curated record.
AGAGAUGGAAGCAAGUGGUUUCAGUGGGCCAAUUCCUCCUAGUAUUUCUACCUUGGCAUACUUAAGAGAGUUAAGUAUAACUGACUUAAAUGGGGAGAACUCAUCAGAUUUUCCCGACUUGAGUAAAAUGACAGACCUUUCUAAGUUGACAAUGAGGAGCUGUAAUUUAAGAGGAAAUAUCUCUGAACAUAUUCUUUAUUCGAGAAGGCUAGAUGUCUUGUAAUUGUUCGAUUAUUCUCUUGUCAAAUUUUCUAUUCCUGUAUAGCAUUUCCUUGGAAUUUAAACACUUAAUCUUUAGCGAAUUUAACAGACAUCUAAGAUCU